AUUGAACGCUGGCGGCAGGCCUAACACAUGCAAGUCGAGCGGAUGAAGGGAGCUUGCUCCUGGAUUCAGCGGCGGACGGGUGAGUAAUGCCUAGGAAUCUGCCUGGUAGUGGGGGAUAACGUCCGGAAACGGGCGCUAAUACCGCAUACGUCCUGAGGGAGAAAGUGGGGGAUCUUCGGACCUCACGCUAUCAGAUGAGCCUAGGUCGGAUUAGCUAGUUGGUGGGGUAAAGGCCUACCAAGGCGACGAUCCGUAACUGGUCUGAGAGGAUGAUCAGUCACACUGGAACUGAGACACGGUCCAGACUCCUACGGGAGGCAGCAGUGGGGAAUAUUGGACAAUGGGCGAAAGCCUGAUCCAGCCAUGCCGCGUGUGUGAAGAAGGUCUUCGGAUUGUAAAGCACUUUAAGUUGGGAGGAAGGGCAGUAAGUUAAUACCUUGCUGUUUGGACGUUACCAACAGAAUAAGCACCGGCUAACUUCGU
RNAcentral lists this ribosomal RNA (483 nucleotides) under uncultured bacterium. RNAcentral's name for it is "partial 16S ribosomal RNA". It matches the Rfam family "Bacterial small subunit ribosomal RNA", at positions 30 to 506 of the family's 1533-position model. The record is from RNAcentral.